Molecule: transfer RNA, 62 nt
Filed under: Heterocerus parallelus
Lineage: Eukaryota; Metazoa; Arthropoda; Insecta; Coleoptera; Heteroceridae
Description: tRNA-Leu
Source: RNAcentral
GUUGUUUUGGCAGAUUAGUGCAAUAAAUUUAGAAUUUAUUUAUGUAAUAUUUACAGGCAAUA